Cyprinus carpio (common carp) is the source of this 706-nucleotide long non-coding RNA. The record is from Ensembl. NCBI's taxonomy places the organism in Eukaryota, Metazoa, Chordata, Actinopteri, Cypriniformes, Cyprinidae.
CUUCUUUGUUCUCCACAAUAGAGAUUCACUUGUCUCAGGUUUUGUACAACUUUUACCUCCAUCAACAGGAUUCUUCCAGGCAGCUUGUCAAAUUUCUGUUAAACAUCUUGUUCGACUGCUGCCUGUAGAAAUACCUACCCAUAUUUGUGAUUGCAGUAACGGGACAGUCCUUGUUUCUUCAGGCAGGCCCAGGACCCUGAUCACUAUGAAUGGCCGUUACAACCUUAGCAUGCCUCACUUGUCCUGUGCUUCGUGUGGAUAUUCACGAGAGGCGUCUUUGCCAGAACUUCAAAAGAGUGGUUACUGGCCUGGUAACAUUCCUGCAAGUGCACUGUUCACAACAGAUGUGCUUGUCUCAUUUCAAGAGAUGAAAAUGGCAUCACCAGGGAUGUCUUUUCAAGCAUUUGUUAAAAUGCUUGAUGAGAAAACAAUUCUCUUUGGUAGAGUAAGUAUUUUGUUUUGUUUUUAAUUAUUAUUUUUUUUUUUCAUCAUUAACCAUUGCCAAGUAAAAUUACUAUUUUCUUUGGACGUAGUAGAAACCUUUGCAUGUAUAGAUUUAACUACUAAGAUAUUUAAUGUACUGAGAUUUUAAUACAUUAUGAUUCUCAAUUUAGCUUUAUAACCAAAACAAUUAAUUCAUUUUCAGUGUGAAAAUGAUUGCUUUUCUGUAGACUGUGCUAACUUUAUAUGAAAUGUUAAACAGACU